CUUUACUGUAGCCUGGUAUUGGGUUCGGGCUUUGACUGCGCAGGAUAGGUGGGAGACUGAGAAGUGUGCCUUGUGGGGCACAUGGGGUCAACGGUGAGAUACCACUCUGUCAGAGCUAGAAUUCUAACCUUCACCCGUAAUCCGGGGAAGGAACCGUAUCAGGUGGGCAGUCUGACUGGGGCGGUCGCCUCCUAAAAGGUAACGGAGGCGCGCAAAGGUGUUCUCAGGCUGGUUGGAAAUCAGCCGUAGAGUGUAAGGGCAGAAGAACGCUUGACUGUGAGAGUGACAACUCAAGCAGGGUGGAAACACGGCCUUAGUGAUCCGACGGUAUGCGCGUGGAAGUGCCGUCGCUCAACGGAUAAAAGUUA
RNAcentral lists this ribosomal RNA (368 nucleotides) under uncultured organism. Its description in RNAcentral is "bacterial LSU rRNA". It matches the Rfam family "Bacterial large subunit ribosomal RNA", at positions 2099 to 2465 of the family's 2925-position model. The record is from RNAcentral.